CGCCUCCUGACUAAACAUAGGAGGUCAGGCCUGCCCAGUGACAUUGUUCAACGGCCGCGGUAUCCUAACCGUGCGAAGGUAGCGUAAUCACUUGUUCUUUAAAUGAGGACUAGUAUGAACGGCUUCACGAGAGCUAUGCUGUCUCCUUUAUCCAAUCAGUAAAACUAAUCUCCCCGUGAAGAAGCGGGGAUGUAAUUAUAAGACGAGAAGACCCUAUGGAGCUUUAAACUCUUUUAACAUUUGAACUACGUAUAAAACUUUCAGAAAGCUUCAUUAAACCAAUCAUUUUGUUUCAGGUUUUAGGUUGGGGUGACCACGGAGAAAAAAUCAACCUCCACGUGGAAAGAAGCUAUCUUCUAAGCAAAAAGCUACACCUUUAUGCAUCAACACAUUGACCUAAAUUGACCCAAUUGCUUGAUCAACGAACCAAGUUACCCUAGGGAUAACAGCGCAAUCCGCUUUAAGAGCUCCUAUCGACAAGCGGGCUUACGACCUCGAUGUUGGAUCAGGGUAUCCUAGUGGUGCAGCAGCUACUAACGGUUCGUUUGUUCAACGAUUAAAACCCU
RNAcentral lists this ribosomal RNA (566 nucleotides) under Allobates flaviventris. RNAcentral's name for it is "partial 16S ribosomal RNA". It matches the Rfam family "Bacterial large subunit ribosomal RNA", at positions 1829 to 2597 of the family's 2925-position model. Lineage: Eukaryota; Metazoa; Chordata; Amphibia; Anura; Aromobatidae. The record is from RNAcentral.